Molecule: ribosomal RNA, 279 nt
Filed under: uncultured bacterium
Lineage: Bacteria
Description: partial 16S ribosomal RNA
Rfam family: Bacterial small subunit ribosomal RNA
Source: RNAcentral
UGCCAGCCGCCGGGGUAAUACGGAGGGUGCAAGCGUUGUUCGGAAUUAUUGGGCGUAAAGCGCGUGUAGGCGGUUCGUUAAGUCUGAUGUGAAAGCCCGGGGCUCAACCCCGGAAGUGCAUUGGAAACUGGCGAACUUGAGUACUGGAGGGGGUGGUGGAAUUCCCGGUGUAGAGGUGAAAUUCGUAGAUAUCGGGAGGAAUACCGGUGGCGAGGGCGACCACCUGGCCAGAUACUGACGCUGAGGUGCGAAAGCGUGGGGAGCAAACAGGAUUAGAUA